Molecule: ribosomal RNA, 253 nt
Filed under: uncultured bacterium
Lineage: Bacteria
Description: partial 16S ribosomal RNA
Rfam family: Bacterial small subunit ribosomal RNA
Source: RNAcentral
GACAGAGGGUGCAAACGUUGUUCGGAAUUACUGGGCGUAAAGCGCGUGUAGGCGGCCCAGCAAGUCGGAUGUGAAAGCCCUGGGCUUAACCUAGGAAGUGCAUUCGAAACUGCUGGGCUUGAGUUCUGGAGAGGAAGGCGGAAUUCUCGGUGUAGAGGUGAAAUUCGUAGAUAUCGAGAGGAACACCGGGGGCGAAGGCGGCUCCCUGGACAAUUGCUGACACUCAGGCACGAAAGCGUGGGGAGCAAAAGGG